UACGUAGGGACCAAGCGUUGUUCGGAUUUACUGGGCGUAAAGGGCGCGUAGGCGGCGCGGUAAGUCACUUGUGAAAUCUCUGAGCUUAACUCAGAACGGCCAAGUGAUACUGCAGUGCUAGAGUGUGGAAGGGGCAAUUGGAAUUCUUGGUGUAGCGGUGAAAUGCGUAGAUAUCAAGAGGAACACCUGAGGUGAAGACGGGUUGCUGGGCCAACACUGACGCUGAGGCGCGAAAGCCAGGGGAGCAAACGGG
RNAcentral lists this ribosomal RNA (253 nucleotides) under uncultured bacterium. RNAcentral's name for it is "partial 16S ribosomal RNA". It matches the Rfam family "Bacterial small subunit ribosomal RNA", at positions 524 to 776 of the family's 1533-position model. The record is from RNAcentral.